AGACGGCCAAUUAAAUACGCACGAUAGUUCCUCACUUAAGUCGCGAGGAACAGGUUUUUAUUUAGCGUCUUUAAGGGAGAGAAAGAUUGUUUAUAAAGGUACCACUGGAUGAGGGAGAGGUAAUAAAGGUGGAGAGAUACGACACAGCUGCAGACAGAUAACCACUUCGCGACUCGCAAUGCAACUGGGAAGAAGAAGCUUGGCGAGGGGAGGGGAAAAGAAAGAAUAAAACAUCGUAAGCCUUUCGAUAGGUCUGUCUCGUCUCGAUGGAAGGAUCGAUACUUCGAAACUGGCCCUGCAUAUUUAUGCGUGGAAACUACUACUAGUUCGAGCUCGUAAUAAUCAAUAGAAUUUGUUUCGGUUUUUUUCUAUCGUUUUAAAAAUUCUUCUCUACCGGUUACUUUUGACUUUUUAACGAUUUUUUAAGUGUUGUCGAAACGCGAUACACGCACGAUCGACUUUUUAAAAAAAAAACAACUUUCUCCCGAAUAAGAAUCAAAGAACCGACGAAUUCCAUGAAAUGAAGCGAGAAAUCGUAGAAAGUGGUUUUGGGGGAAUAGAAAUUCCUUUUGUAUUUCGAAAUCAAAUAUUAAAAAAAAAUCUACUGCUCUCUAUCGUAUACUUUUCCCAAUCUUUCAUACAAAUUUUUCCAUACGUACAAUUAAACAUACUUGAAUUAAAUUAUCUUGAUACGUGGAGUAAUUUCAUUAAAAUUUUCGGAUCGAUUUGGCACGAUGUAUUAAAAUGAUAAAAGAGAAAAAAAUUACCAGAAGUCUUGUCGCUAAAGAGACAUCCCCAUAGAUUUGUCCAUGUCUCAUAUUCUUGAUUCACCCCUCUAUAUAUGUACGUAACUAGAAUUGAGGAGCGGACAGUGGUUCGAAUAAUAUUAAUUGGAUUCAAAAUUCAUUUUCAAAUAUUUAUAAAAAUAGUAAGUGUUUCGAUUUUAAAUCCUCCUUUCAAACGUUUACGUUAUUAAAUACAAUACAAUUGUAAUCGAUAAUCGAUCGGUCGUAUUUCAAUUGUUGGGAAAUAUUCCGUAAAUUUUUUUAAGAAAAAUUUGUUUAUUCGUCAUAUUUUGGAGAAAUAAACAAUAAUGAUAUUCAUUUUUUUUAUAUAUAUAAUUAUAUAUAAAAAUUUUGUUAUUCCUUUCAAUAUUUGCGCAAUAUAAUUUUCAAUUUUAUUGUUUUUAUUCUUAUUUUUCUAAAUCAUCAUUGUAAACAAUAAUGAUAUUCUUAACUUUAACGAUUCUUUUUUAUAUAUAUAAAAAUUUUGUUAUUCCUUUCAAUAUUUGCGCAAUACGUAUCUUCUUACAGUGCUUUUUCCAUUUUAUAAUUUUCAAUUUUAUUGUUUUUAUUCUUAUUUUUCUAAAUCAUCACUUACCAUACACACUAUCAUACUUCUUUUCCCCAAAUAAAUAUUUUUUCCUUCAACAUCCGUUUCUCGAUAAUUUCCUCCAAUUAUCCUUUUCAAUUAUUCGAAUCACUGUGGGUCGAAUUUAACAGAGAUUGUGAAAACUGUGCUCCCCCAAGGAGGACACGAGAGGUGAAGGAAGCCUCGUUUCUUUGGGAGGGGGAGAGCGUUCAAUUUUCCGGGCGGCGAGGAGGUAAAAAAGCGCGCGAGGAUUCGAAUAACAAGGAGCAAUGCAAUAAAAGCGCCGUUGGAUGCUCGUUCGAGCAAUUUUGCUCGAGACACAGGGAGGGAUAUCUGCACGGUGUGUCGACGAGGUGAAUGUGGAAAUACGGGGCCAAUUUCGUAGAAUUGAAUAAGCACAGUCGGUUGAAGGGGAUUGAAUUAUCUGCGUGAUAAUUGUUGGCUUUCCAUGCUUCGAUUUCUCCUUCUCUUUUCUUCUACCGAUUUCGGCAAAAUUUAAUCUACUAUUACGUUGCUUCGAUAAUUUUAAUUCAAAAUGUAAUAAUAAUUGGAAAACAAGAUUGUAAAUAAAUGCUUAUUUAAA
Long non-coding RNA from Apis cerana (Asiatic honeybee), 1954 nucleotides. RefSeq lists it as uncharacterized. Lineage: Eukaryota; Metazoa; Arthropoda; Insecta; Hymenoptera; Apidae. The record is from RefSeq and is a predicted model, not a curated record.